This 253-nucleotide ribosomal RNA is filed under the name uncultured bacterium. RNAcentral's name for it is "partial 16S ribosomal RNA". It matches the Rfam family "Bacterial small subunit ribosomal RNA", at positions 524 to 776 of the family's 1533-position model. The record is from RNAcentral.
UACGUAGGGUGCAAGCGUUGUCCGGAAUUACUGGGCGUAAAGAGCUCGUAGGUGGUUUGUCGCGUUGUUCGUGAAAACUCACAGCUCAACUGUGGGCGUGCGGGCGAUACGGGCAGACUUGAGUACUGCAGGGGAGACUGGAAUUCCUGGUGUAGCGGUGAAAUGCGUAGAUAUCAGGAGGAACACCGGUGGCGAAGGCGGCUCUCUGGACCACAACUGACGCUGAGGCGCGAAAGCUAGGGGAGCAAACAGG